This 711-nucleotide long non-coding RNA is filed under the name Mytilus galloprovincialis (Mediterranean mussel). The record is from RNAcentral. Lineage: Eukaryota; Metazoa; Mollusca; Bivalvia; Mytilida; Mytilidae.
GAUAACAAUGACCUAAAAAAUAUUUUAAAAUGUAUAAACAUCAAUUGAAUCAUACAGGAAAACACUCAUUUGUUGGUAAAGGAAAGACACCUGGAGGAUAAUGUUCUUAUAAUUAGUUUGAUAUGUCUUCUGCAGUAUUAUAAAAAUAAAAAGAAGAUGUGAUAUGAUUACCUAUGAGACAACUGUCAACAAGAGACCAAAAUGACACAGACAUUAACAAGUAUAGGUCACCAUACGUCCUUCAACCAUGAGCAAAGGUCAAACUGCAUAGUCAGCUAUAAAAGGCCUCGAUAUGACAAUGUAAAACAAAUCAAACGAGAAAACUAAUCGAGUUAUUUAUAUAAAAAAAUGAACGAAAAACAAAUAUGUAAUACAUAAACAAACGACAACCACUGAAUUACAGGCUCCUGACUUGGGACAGGCACUUUUAUAAAAAAAAAAUGUGGCGAGGUUAAACUUAUUAGCGGCAUUCUAACCCUCCUCUUAACCUGGGACAGUGGUAUAACAGUACGAAAUAAGAACGAACUAUAAAAAUCAGUUGAAAAAGGCUUAACUCAUCAGAUGGACAAAAAUACAAGUGGACGUGGCCGGGUACGUGUACAUCCCGACAACAUAAAAGCACUAGGAACAGAUCUGAGAGUACUCGCAGUUAUCUGACAGCCAUUUCAAAUCCACUAACAACUAAUAAAAAACAUGCAUCUUAGACAAAAC